This 460-nucleotide ribosomal RNA is filed under the name uncultured bacterium. RNAcentral describes it as "partial 16S ribosomal RNA". It matches the Rfam family "Bacterial small subunit ribosomal RNA", at positions 338 to 795 of the family's 1533-position model. The record is from RNAcentral.
CCUACGGGAGGCAGCAGUGAGGAAUAUUGCUCAAUGGGCUUACGCCUGAAGCAGCGAAGUCGCGUGAGGGAAGACUUCCCUCUGUGUUGUAAACCUCUUUUGUCAGGGAGCAACGCCGGCUACGUGUAGCCGGACUGAGAGUACCUGAAGAAAAAGCAUCGGCUAAGUCCGUUCCAGCAGCCGCGGUAAUACGGGGUAUGCGAGGGUUAUCCGGAUUUAUUGGGGUUAAAGGGUGCGUGUGCGGACUGCCAAGUCAGCGGUAAAAUCGCGGGGUUCAACCUCGCUCCGCCGUUGAAACUGGCGUUCUUGAGUGGGCGAGAAGUAUGCGGAAUUCCUAGUGUAGCGGUGGAAUGCGUAGAUAUUAGGAGGAACAUCAGUGGCGAAGGCGACUUUCUGGACUGUAACUGACGCUGAGGCACGAAAGUGUGGGGAGCAAACAGGAUUAGAUACCCGGGUAGUC